GAGCGGCGAACGGGUGAGUAACACGUGGGUGAUCUGCCCUGUACUUCGGGAUAAGCCUGGGAAACUGGGUCUAAUACCGGAUAUGACCUCCGACUGCAUGGUUGGUGGUGGAAAGAUUUAUCGGUGCAGGAUGGGCCCGCGGCCUAUCAGCUUGUUGGUGGGGUAAUGGCCUACCAAGGCGACGACGGGUAGCCGACCUGAGAGGGUGACCGGCCACACUGGGACUGAGACACGGCCCAGACUCCUACGGGAGGCAGCAGUGGGGAAUAUUGCACAAUGGGCGGAAGCCUGAUGCAGCGACGCCGCGUGAGGGAUGACGGCCUUCGGGUUGUAAACCUCUUUCGACAGGGACGAAGCGUGAGUGACGGUACCUGUAGAAGAAGCACCGGCCAACUACGUGCCAGCAGCCGCGGUAAUACGUAGGGUGCGAGCGUUGUCCGGAAUUACUGGGCGUAAAGAGCUUGUAGGCGGUUCGUCGCGUCGAUCGUGAAAACUGGCGGCUCAACUG
This 508-nucleotide ribosomal RNA is filed under the name Nocardia sp. 310H12. Its description in RNAcentral is "bacterial SSU rRNA". It matches the Rfam family "Bacterial small subunit ribosomal RNA", at positions 93 to 615 of the family's 1533-position model. The record is from RNAcentral. Lineage: Bacteria; Bacillati; Actinomycetota; Actinomycetes; Mycobacteriales; Nocardiaceae.